GCCCGGAUGGCGGAAUAGGCAGACGCACAGGACUUAAAAUCCUGCGGGACUCAACUCCCGUGCCGGUUCAAGUCCGGCUCCGGGCACCA
Molecule: transfer RNA, 89 nt
Filed under: Peptococcaceae bacterium
Lineage: Bacteria; Bacillati; Bacillota; Clostridia; Eubacteriales; Peptococcaceae
Description: tRNA-Leu
Rfam family: tRNA
About the family: Transfer RNA (tRNA) molecules are approximately 80 nucleotides in length. Their secondary structure includes four short double-helical elements and three loops (D, anti-codon, and T loops). Further hydrogen bonds mediate the characteristic L-shaped molecular structure. tRNAs have two regions of fundamental functional importance: the anti-codon, which is responsible for specific mRNA codon recognition, and the 3' end, to which the tRNAs corresponding amino acid is attached (by aminoacyl-tRNA synthetases). tRNAs cope with the degeneracy of the genetic code in two manners: having more than one tRNA (with a specific anti-codon) for a particular amino acid; and 'wobble' base-pairing, i.e. permitting non-standard base-pairing at the 3rd anti-codon position.
Source: RNAcentral